Molecule: long non-coding RNA, 373 nt
Organism: Bacillus rossius redtenbacheri
Lineage: Eukaryota; Metazoa; Arthropoda; Insecta; Phasmatodea; Bacillidae
Exons: 3
Source: RefSeq, a predicted model, not a curated record
CAGCCUGCCCGGGACUGCUGACGUGCGCGCCAUCGCUCCUACGACGAGGCAAGAAAACACAGGGAACUUGUGGCUUGAGUUGGCGACCCACGCACACUUUCAGGCAAUGCUGGGGGUGAAAGUGGCGGCGGUGUUGGCGGUGGUCUACCUGGCGGCCUGCACGCGGGGAGCAGACCACUUGACUGCUCCGCCUGCCCUCGGCUCGGCGGACACCUCGCAGCUCGGCGGCGCUGAGACCGAGACGGUACCUAACCACCCGGAGGUGCCAAUAGUUGCAACGACUACGGACAACAACCAGGUCGAGCAAGUUAAAGAAAACAUUGCCUAAGGGUUUUACAACCCGCCACUUCUCUACGCACCAUACACACUAGUG